GACGAACGCUGGCGGCGUGCUUAACACAUGCAAGUCGAGCGGUAAGGCCCUUUCGGGGGUACACGAGCGGCGAACGGGUGAGUAACACGUGGGUGACCUGCCCUCAGCUCUGGGAUAAGCCUGGGAAACCGGGUCUAAUACCGGAUAUGACUCCAUGACGCAUGUUGUGGGGUGGAAAGCCUUGUGCGGCUGAGGAUGGGCCCGCGGCCUAUCAGCUUGUUGGUGGGGUGAUGGCCUACCAAGGCGACGACGGGUAGCCGGCCUGAGAGGGCGACCGGCCACACUGGGACUGAGACACGGCCCAGACUCCUACGGGAGGCAGCAGUGGGGAAUCUUGCGCAAUGGGCGAAAGCCUGACGCAGCGACGCCGCGUGAGGGUAUGACGGCCU
This 389-nucleotide ribosomal RNA is filed under the name uncultured bacterium. RNAcentral's name for it is "bacterial SSU rRNA". It matches the Rfam family "Bacterial small subunit ribosomal RNA", at positions 28 to 417 of the family's 1533-position model. The record is from RNAcentral.